CCUACGGGAGGCAGCAGUGGGGAAUAUUGGGCAAUGGGCGCAAGCCUGACCCAGCAACGCCGCGUGAAGGAAGAAGUAUUUCGGUAUGUAAAGCUCUGUCAGCAGGGAAGAAAGCAAUGACGGUACCUGACCAAGAAGCCCCGGCUAACUACGUGCCAGCAGCCGCGGUAAUACGUAGGGGGCAAGCGUUAUCCGGAAUUACUGGGUGUAAAGGGAGCGUAGACGGCUGUGCAAGUCUGGAGUGAAAGGCGGGGGCCCAACCCCCGGACUGCUCUGGAAACUGUAUGGCUGGAGUGCAGGAGAGG
This 305-nucleotide ribosomal RNA is filed under the name uncultured bacterium. Its description in RNAcentral is "bacterial SSU rRNA". It matches the Rfam family "Bacterial small subunit ribosomal RNA", at positions 338 to 657 of the family's 1533-position model. The record is from RNAcentral.